CACCCUUGUCCUUGUCCUCGGUCCGGCUUGCCUCUCUCAGAGUCAGUGGGAGCUCAUCCUCUGUCUGCAGCUUGGCCUGGCCCAGAACUGAGGCUCCCAGGAGCUCCGCAUCGCAGCAGCCGCGGCGGGGGGCCGCUCCGUGCCGCAGAGCUGGGAGCUCAGCCGCCGCUGGGGAGGGGCGGGGAGCCCAGGAAGGAAGCUGGAGGCCCAAAGAUGGAUGCUUGUAGAAGCAGGAAGCACAGGAGAGAGAAAUAAACAGCUGCCACUGCAGACUUCCAGCUUCCAUCCCCUGGGCCCUCAUUGAUUUUCUCCAUCGUUCCAACCGUGAGCGGGAGCCCCAUUAAUCACUGCUCUGCCCAUGAUGGACGGCAGGUACUCCAUCUUGUUUUGAUUAAUUUCAUUCUCACAUGGAUUGUUCUGAUUUCCAGCAUUGCCGGAGCUCAGUCUGUAGGAGAUGAUUCAUUUGGGGGAGAUUGAAGGGAAGGGCGGGGAGGAGAGCUGGAAAAGGAGAAUGGUGGGUAGAGCAGUCAUUGCCUGAAUCUGAUUGAGUCUGUCUGUUAACAUGAGUGGCUCCCCACCUCCCCCACCCUCACCCUAAGAAUAGCAAUACCAGCUGUACCAGCAGGAGCUAUGUCUAAAUUAAUAAAAUGAAGUGGGAUUAUUGGCCUUUUC
This 672-nucleotide long non-coding RNA is filed under the name Phascolarctos cinereus (koala). Its description in RNAcentral is "lncRNA (ENSPCIG00000034667.1)". Lineage: Eukaryota; Metazoa; Chordata; Mammalia; Diprotodontia; Phascolarctidae. The record is from RNAcentral.